Molecule: ribosomal RNA, 858 nt
Filed under: uncultured bacterium
Lineage: Bacteria
Description: bacterial SSU rRNA
Rfam family: Bacterial small subunit ribosomal RNA
Source: RNAcentral
AGAGUUUGAUCAUGGCUCAGAAUCCCGCUGGCGGCAUGCCUAACACAUGCAAGUCGAGCGAGGAAGUGUAGCAAUACAUGAGUAAAGCGGCGCACGGGUGAGUAACACGUGGAUAACCUGCCUCAAAGUGGGGAAUAACACCGGGAAACCGGUGCUAAUACCGCAUAUUCUGACGAGAUCUGCGGAUUUUGUCAGGGAAGGAGCAAUUCGCUAUGAGAGGGGUCCGCGGCUGAUUAGCUAGUUGGUGAGGUAAUGGCUCACCAAGGCUUUGAUCAGUAGCCGGUCUGGGAGGACGGUCGGCCACACUGGAACUGAGACACGGUCCAGACUCCUACGGGAGGCAGCAGUGGGGAAUUUUUCGCAAUGGGGGCAACCCUGACGAAGCAAUGCCGCGUGGAUGAUGAAGUAUCUCGGUACGUAAAAUCCUUUCGACGGGGACGAAACCGCAAGGUUGACGGUACCCGUAGAAGAAGCCCCGGCUAACUCCGUGCCAGCAGCCGCGGUAAUACGGGGGGGGCGAGCGUUGUUCGGAAUUACUGGGCGUAAAGGGUGCGUAGGCGGCUUUCUAAGUCGGAUGUGAAAACUCUGGGCUCAACCCAGAGCCUGCAUCUGAAACUGGAGAGCUAGGGUUUUGGAGGGGAAAGCGGAAUUCCAGGUGUAGCGGUGAAAUGCGUAGAUAUCUGGAGGAACACCGGUGGCGAAAGCGGCUUUCUGGACAAAUACCGACGCUGAGGCACGAAAGCUAGGGGAGCAAACAGGAUUAGAUACCCUGGNAGUCCUAGCCCUAAACUAUGGAUACUUGCUGUGGGGGGGAUUGAAGCCCCUUGUGGCGAAGCUAACGCAUUAANUAUCCCGCCU